This 476-nucleotide ribosomal RNA is filed under the name uncultured bacterium. Its description in RNAcentral is "bacterial SSU rRNA". It matches the Rfam family "Bacterial small subunit ribosomal RNA", at positions 456 to 929 of the family's 1533-position model. The record is from RNAcentral.
GAAUAGUGAGAAGGAUUGACGGUACCGGAAUAGAAAGCCACGGCUAACUACGUGCCAGCAGCCGCGGUAAUACGUAGGUGGCAAGCGUUGUCCGGAAUUAUUGGGCGUAAAGCGCGCGCAGGCGGAUAGGUCAGUCUGUCUUAAAAGUUCGGGGCUUAACCCCGUGAUGGGAUGGAAACUGCCAAUCUAGAGUAUCGGAAAGGAAAGUGGAAUUCCUAGUGUAGCGGUGAAAUGCGUAGAUAUUAGGAAGAACACCAGUGGCGAAGGCGACUUUCUGGACGAAAACUGACGCUGAGGCGCGAAAGCCAGGGGAGCGAACGGGAUUAGAUACCCCGGUAGUCCUGGCCGUAAACGAUGGGUACUAGGUGUAGGAGGUAUCGACCCCUUCUGUGCCGGAGUUAACGCAAUAAGUACCCCGCCUGGGGAGUACGACCGCAAGGUUGAAACUCAAAGGAAUUGACGGGGGCCCGCACAAG